AUUGAACGCUGGCGGCAUGCCUUACACAUGCAAGUCGAACGGUAACGGGCCUUCGGGUGCCGACGAGUGGCGAACGGGUGAGUAAUACAUCGGAACGUGCCCGAUCGUGGGGGAUAACGAGGCGAAAGCUUUGCUAAUACCGCAUACGAUCUACGGAUGAAAGCAGGGGACCGCAAGGCCUUGCGCGGACGGAGCGGCCGAUGGCAGAUUAGGUAGUUGGUGGGAUAAAAGCUUACCAAGCCGGCGAUCUGUAGCUGGUCUGAGAGGGUGAUCAGCCACACUGGGAGUGAGACACGGCCCAGACUCCUACGGGAGGCAACAGUGGGGAAUUUUGGACAAUGGGCGCAAGCCUGAUCCAGCCAUGCCGCGUGCAGGAUGAAGGCCUUCGGGUUGUAAACUGCUUUUGUACGGAACGAAAAGCCUUCUUUUAAUACAGGAGGGUCAUGACGGUACCGGAAGAAUAAGCACCGGCUAACUACGUG
Molecule: ribosomal RNA, 482 nt
Filed under: uncultured bacterium
Lineage: Bacteria
Description: partial 16S ribosomal RNA
Rfam family: Bacterial small subunit ribosomal RNA
Source: RNAcentral